Molecule: ribosomal RNA, 111 nt
Filed under: Microcebus murinus (gray mouse lemur)
Lineage: Eukaryota; Metazoa; Chordata; Mammalia; Primates; Cheirogaleidae
Source: RNAcentral
AUCUAUAGCCAUACCACCCUGAAUGUGCCUGAUCUUGGAAGCUAAGCAGGACCUGGCCUGGUUAGUACUUGGAUGGGAGAAGACUAUUGAACCCAACAAUUGCUGACGUUA